Long non-coding RNA from Numida meleagris (helmeted guineafowl), 12114 nucleotides. RefSeq lists it as uncharacterized. NCBI's taxonomy places the organism in Eukaryota, Metazoa, Chordata, Aves, Galliformes, Numididae. The transcript has 3 exons. The record is from RefSeq and is a predicted model, not a curated record.
ACAAGUUAUCGUUUUUCCAGACUUCACCUUCCUCAGGUGCCAAUGUUUUCCGCUGCCAUACUGGUACACUACAUACAUUUAACUUUAAUGGUCAUGCUCUUUAAAAUCCUUUAGGUUAUUUAGAAAUAUACCCCCAUGGCAAAUCCAUGCAAGUUCACAGCUUCAAAUGAACUUCAAAUGGUCAUGCAGACCACAAUGUGACUCCUGUACAUGAAGGAGAAAGAAGCUUCUGUUCCAGUCAUGCCACAUGGCUGAACAGAGCUGGACAUUUUGUGCAGCCUUUUAGCGUUAAACAGGCUUUGGUGAGUGAAGAACUGAGCCAUGUUACAGACUGCAGCGGUCAGGGCAGUGAGGCCAAUGCUCACAGCUUCUCUAAGUGGAAGUACAACUAUUUGCACCUUGAAGGGUUCUGUCUUUUCUCUCCAGCCCAUUUGGAGGGCAGCAGUUUUCGAUUGUUUGGGAGACUGUCUAAACAUACCAAAAACCCUAAUGGCUGGAAGCGUGUCAUCUGCUCUGCUGAGGGGGGCUGAGUUUCUGAACGUGGCAGAAAAAUACACUGCAGAGCCGUGUCUGUGCUUGGACAGAGGAGCACCCUACAGCCUGCACCACACUGACAAGAGGCUGUCGUGCAGUGACUGCCACAGUGCUUGGCCACCAAGUGACAGCCCCAAAUAGGCUGCUUUGCACAACAAAGAAAAUCCUGCAAAAAAACAUGUAGAAGCCUGAAGCAGGUCUGAGACUAGACAUAUAAUAAUUCCAGGGUGCACAACAGAUGGAGACUUUAGAAUACGGAGCCACUAAUCUAUGGAUUACAGAGUCCCUAAUUAUAGACUGACACUUACCAUUUCUGAGUGGAACUACCAGAGCAGGGAGGGAUCUUGCAAAUCAGCGUUCAGCAACAGAAUACACUGUUAGGGGUAACCGGGGAAGGAAUCAGAUGUUGUCACUGUGCCACCACAUCAACCUUCUACACAUUUGUGUCUCUGAAUGCUGCAUGGAGUUCAGUGCCAUUGCAGAUAUUGAAAACAAGGAUAGCGGAGCUGGGAAAGGUCCAGAAAGAUCUGCAUGUGUAAUCAAAGGCAUGGCCUACAGCUGUACCCAGGCAAGCCCUAAGUGACAGAUACCUCCUCGAGCGUGAGACAUAAAUCAUGCACACAUUUCUCCAUACAAACAGGUCAGCCUGUAAGAACAGAUAACCAAGUGAGUUCUUCGUCAUCUCCAACCUUGAAUUUCUCAUUAGUCCUAAUACUAAUCCCAGUAUGGUCCUACCCUACUGACUCCCAGCCUUGGAGCAGGCGAAAGCUCGAUAUUCCUUUAUACCCUGUUCCUAAUUCUGACCCAGUCAGUCAUAAUGGCAAAUCAUAAAACAAGUUUUACAGAUCCCACAAAACUCAAAAUAUUAACUCUAACACUGCACGUAACUGAAAUCGUUACAGCCUGGGACAUGAACGAAAGCAAUCACCAACCAAGCAGAGACCGCACUGUCAAUGGCAUGGCCCAAGCAGGAGUACCAAUGAACUGUCACCAGCUCUUUUAUUCCAUAUCCCUGAUCCUAAGAGUAACCCUAGUCCAAUCUGUCAGUGUCCCAGUGACAUUUUUUUUCCCGGAUUUAACCACUUGAUAGUAGCAGGGAUAAAAAAAGAACUUUAGCACAGACAACACUGAGCAGUGCUUUAAGUCCAGAAGUCCUAACUGAGAUGCAGCCACUCACCCUGCCUCUCACUGUAUUCAGGUUAAUGAAAACUCAUUUGUUUACUUCUGGCCUUAUCCUGCAGCAAUCUACAUAGUAAAAUGGAGAAAUUAUCUGAACUCCGUAGCCAUCACUAAUCUGAAUUGCCCUAGCCUGCACCCUAAUGUUAUAUGUGUCCUGAAUUCCUCGACUGCCUCAGACGCAGGAAAAACACUCACCAGUCAAGCAUUGGCUCUCAUCAGUAUUCAAGCCAUGAGAGCAUAUCAGGAGCAGGAAAUUCAAGCUGUUCAACUUUAUACUCUGGUAGACUGUCUAUACUCGUGCCUUAGGGACAUCUGCUAUCCACAGACAUAAAGGCAAGGCAAUUGCAGAGAUUAAUAACGUAAACCUGGGAUCUGGAGAGAUGCAGUCAUCAAAUUAGCUCUUCAAUGCCUCCAGUCAGAAACGCUGAUUUAACAAUAAGCCUGACAUAAUUACCCAUACAGUCUCUAGGCUGGUGGGAUGGCAGUCACUGCACUCCAGCCACCUGCAGCAAAUUCUCUGUUCCUGAGUCCUUGCAAAGCUGAACCCUGCCUGUGAUGCAUCUCUGAGGCCAUUAACUCCCCAGCUCACAUGAGCUAAGAGCCAGGCAAGGCCUGCAGCUUCUGGCUGGCCACAGGCACACCUCAAACACCUCUGGGCUUCCUGCUUCUGUCACGGAGGUCCUCCAGCACCGCAGCUCAGCCCCAGCCAUGCUGGCAGCACUGUGCCUACAGGCCCAGGCAGGUUGUGCUCUGGUCUGUGUUCUCCAUUGCCAUUCUGCUUCCCAUAGGGUAUAGCUGUUUUAGCAGUAGUCUUUCUGGUGUUGGUUCAGCUACAUCUGGACUGAAAGGUUUUCAUGGAGUCUGGCCCUCAAAAUGGAAGUGUUUUUUGGAGUGUGCACUGUCCAGUAAACUUACACUGUGCGGGCAGUGGAACUCCACGGUGGGAAAAAGUAUCCAUCUGAAUGCAAUAAUGCAUUCAACAGCAACAAUAUUAUCAUCAGUUGAAUAACAGUUAUUAUUUUGGAGCAAAAAUAAUUCUGUACUUGAAAGAAAAUGAACCAUUUUCAAAAUGGAAAAGAGGUGAUUCCUACACAUAGAAUUCAUUAAUGGUUUACUAGGAAGCUCUAAACAGUAUAUUUGGUUUAGAUUUAAGGUUAGGAAUAAUGAAAUUGUAAUCUUGCUGCUUACAUUAAUGCAGAUCUCAUCCUGACUGAUAAUACACAGUUACCAUCUGGCCAUUGUAAGUAGGUGCCAUAUUCUCCUCUCACUACAGAGAGCUGAAUGAUUUAUAAAUAUCAGUUCAACUGACAAACACCACUGUGUUUUCUGGGCACACUUCCUACAAGUGGAUGUCUGUGUUGUUCAGUACAUCUGUGAGCAUCUUCAUCAAAUAAUCUCCUGACCUGGAGCUUGCUUAUUAAAUAUCUACAGAUAAUUGAAAUUGGACUUGCAUAGCAAUUACAAAUUCUACUGCAUCUAUAUCUAUCUAUAUGUCUAUGUUUUCCUCUAGAUGGGAACGUGCAUAGCAAGCCAAAAGAAAGUUUGUAUUUCAAACUGUGUAUGCAACUGUUUUGUUUUACUUUACAGUUCACAGAUGACAAUUCACAUAGAUAUUGUCUCUAAAAUGAAAACUUGUUUUAGGUGAAAGUCUUAGGCAAUUCAGGUGUAUAAUUCUCCGUAUUAAUAAAUAUCAAUAUUAAUUAGUUAAUAUUAAUACACAUUCUCCUCAAUAUUUGAGGAGGGCAAACACAAAAGAACACGUAUAUAAAAAGCAAGACAGCAUGAACUAAGAUGCAUAUUUAAAUAUUAACUUGAAUGUAUUACAGUAAUUUCCUGGCUGUAUGAAAUGGGCAUUUGAGGUCCAGUAACUCAUCUGCUGAAGUGAAAGCCAGCAGUCAUGAGCUCUCUAAGAGUGCACCUGUAGCAGAAAUGCUAAGUCACAGCUUGAAGCAGUGAUGGAGCACCUGGUGGGAAGGCAGGGCCAGCCCAGGGGAGCUCAGGUGCAUGCAAUGAAGCUGAGUGACCAUAAGGGCUGGAGCCAGGAUCCACCCCUUCCCAGCCCUCAUUUCAGGGUUGGUGGUGGAGUUGAGGGGAUCUUGUUAGAGAUCUCUGCUUACCUGAGGUCUUCUGAAGGAAAAUGUACCCAUUUUUCUGCCCAGCAAUGCAUAGUAUCAGCAUCAAGGAGUUUGCUGAACUGCCUUGAGCAUAUUCAUUUCUUGCCUGCCUCUUCUCUGUGCAUCUCAGAGACGUAGUUGCUUUGCCUGACCGAUGGAGUCAGGCAUCUUUUGUUUGCCAGCACCAUGGAAAAAGAGGAAAUGUUUAUCUUUGUUAUAAGACGUAGCAAGCCUGAUUCUGAUUUCAGCUGCACUGGUAUUGCACAAUCUAUCUCCACUGAGCUAUGUUCCUGUUAAUCCAGCUUUACUUUUACUUUACUUUUCAUAUAUCUUAAUUUCACCUGGGACAGUGUGUUAAAAUAAGGAUGUGAUAAAACCAACUCUCCUUGCCAAGACGAACACAGCAAGAUGAAACCAUCCAUAUUUUGGAUACAUUUGACAGGAAGCAGUACUAAUUAGAAAUGGAAGUAAAGUUUGGAUGGGUAAAUUUUCAUGCAAAUGACAUUUGCAACUCAGUCCCUAACAGAAAUGUCAGUAUCCCCUUCCAUCUUGGCUCCACCACAAGAAAAACAGACAACUGCCUGAUGUGGGUCCAGUCAGCAACUCAUUUUGUAAUGGCGGUGGGAGAAGAAUGCUGCAGCUAUUGGGCUAGAUCAGACCUGGUGCUUCUCUGCUGCGUAUGUCAGGCUGCCAGAACAGCUGAGCUUGGAUGGCUGCAUUGUCCCCAUGUGUUGGGGUGAUCUUGGUGUUCAGGCUCUUUUUCUCUAUUCUUCGACGCAUAAAACUUUCAAGGAGACUGUUUUAGCUUAAAUAAAAUCUCUAAAACUUAUCUUUUCAUCUGAAUGCUUCUCUCCUCCAGUGACUUCCUUCAACAAAGAGAGAUUUCAGCCAGAACUUUGUUUCAUUCUCAGGCCAACAGGGAUAAAUCUCUUUCUCAUGAUUUCUCUCCCCGCCUUUGCCUGCAAACAGAUGGAAGACAGUGGUUAGUACAUGGCUCCCUAGUAUGGUUUGGAAAGCAGAAACACUUCCAGACUUCCUCUGGACUUGUGGUAUUCUGACCUCUGAGGCUCUGUCCUUGCUCAGCAACUGUCACCUUGGUACAAAUCUCUGUAGCUAAUCUGUGAUGACAGGACCUGGAUCUCUUGCUUUUCAUUUACCAUGCAUUUUGCACUGCUGAGAGGAAAAAAAAAAAAGGUUAUAACCCAAGCUGUGGUGAGCAGAGACCAUGACGAAGAUAUAGAAAGAUGUAAAAGCAGCUGCUAUGCAUCCUCCUGAGCAGGCCAGAGCUCUGGUGGGAGCCAAGCAUCUGCACAGGAGAGCUGGAGGCAGAGUGGAAUUUCCUGCCUCCUGGAAGGCAACAGUGGUGAUCUGUCCAUAGGAACAAUCGUCCAUAUGUUGCAUUGCAGGCAGUUUCAGUGUCUUCCCCAGCCUCUCCCGUUAGGCUGCUGGGUUUAUGAGCCCACUGUGCUGUCUGAGGUGAUACACCAAGCAAUGUAAUACGUUUGCUCUGUGAGGAAACAGCAGUGCUGACAAUCCCAGAAACAGAAUGCAUCGCAAGAUGAGUACGCAACAGUUUUGCUUCUGACUUCAAAUGAACCUGAAUUUAGCAACUGGGAGCCUGAUACCCCACUCUGAGCAUCUGGGACCCUGUCUGUCCUACCACUGCCCACAAAGACUACUGACAUUGCCACUGCCGAGUCCUCCUGGCCCAGGGCCUCUUUCUGCUCCUUGCAGGCUGGUUCCUGUCACACUGACAUGAGCACUCAUGCCUGCCUGCUGCACGUGCUCUGUGUCACUGGCCUGCCAUUUCUGUUUUCAGUUACAGUUUAUCCCAAUAAAGUCAUGACUCACUGGGGGAAAAGCAGUGUCUGCAAGCAGUGCUGGAGCCAAGGCUUUGCUCAGCUGUUGCUAAUGCCUCACUGGUGGCUAUCGCUGAGCCAAGACUGAUGCAGGACAGCUAGCAGUGGAAUCAUCUCUCUUGCCACAAUAAGCAUAAUAAAAGGAGGUCAGCACAAUUUAUACGUUGUGAGAUAACAACCUUUUCCCAGCCCAUUUAGUUUCAUCUGAAUUUGUGAAAAUCAACAAGUAGUCAGGCCCACAGCAAGCACAGGUUCCAGAUCCUGUGAGGCACUACUCGUUUAGAGAAGAGGUUUUUCCUCCUGUGUGAUGGUAAAUGCUCUUCACGGCUGGAUGGACAGCCAAGCAGUGUGUGAUCUCUCAGUUACAGCCUGGUUCCUGCAGUAUUUACACAGUUAAGGUGCUUAAGUCCUAGGCUGCACAAGAAGGCGUAGGGCCAUGACAGAAAAUGUGCACAAGGGCAAUCCUGCCUACUUCUCUAGCCUGGCUAAAAUAUAGUUCACUGCUUGCUUUCUUGCAAUCACAAGAAACCAUAUAUAAAAACAAACAAACAUACACAGUACCUUUAAAUCUACUAUAAUUCUACUCUGUCAACAUCUAAUUACUGAUUAUAUGUGUGUAAUCACUGGCAUAUAAUCUCUAAUUAUCUCUAGAUAUACCACCUGUUUUUGCAACAGAGCAUCGGUAUGCUUUCCUGAAGCCAGGAGCAAGGCUGUGCACAGAGUUUGAAGGGGAGACCACUUCAGAUCUGGAAAGAAUUAUUAGGUCAAGUGCAAGACCAUGGAAAUGAGGAAAUCUCAGCCUCAUCUUAAACUCCUUUCCAGUGACACAAGCAGGUGGAGAGGUGCAGCUGGUGAUCCCUGAGGGAGACUGGAAAGAAGGAGGCACAAGAGGCAAAGUGAAGUUUGAAAGUGAGUCAAUAUACUCAUUGGAAGAAGAACCGACGGUAGAGCUCUUAAGUGAGAACAGCCAAUCCAGUCUGCACAGUGUGAGAGGAGAUCCUAGACAGUGUCAUCCAGUAAGCAGGGAACAAACAGAACUGAUGAGAGGUUGAGAGGGAGACAGAACAUGAACUCAGGGGAACCAGGCUGACUCCUCCUAAGUUGAAUUCUGUACAAGUCUGGCAGAAUAUUUUGGGCCUCAGGCUGUUACAAAAUAGGUGUUUUCUUAUUCAGACCCUCCGCACCAAGCCAGAUGGCUGUUCAAGUGGCUAAAAUCUCACCAUUCCCCAAACUGGGAUCCUAAGAAUGCCCAUUGAUUUGUGGCCUAUAGAAGAUAUCUGCAGUUUUACUUGGUAGUUCUUUGAGGUCUGCAGCUGCUUCUCAGCACUGGUUUUGAACCAUCUUGAGGCAAGCUGACUGGCUGGAGCUUAGCUGAUGCACAGAACCUCCUGGAUCUCCAGUUGUUCCUCCUCAUUUGUUCUGGUGGCUCCACCUAGCUACACAGACACUACCCAGGGCUUGGUAUCGAUAGCAAUUCCGUACUUCUGAAUCUCUUAAAAAUCACUGUAUCUCUGGCACUUGGGCUCUAACAACUCCACAACUGAAUGACUCGAUUUGCACCUGAUUGUGAUGCCUGCGGUACCAUGAGACUCCUUGGGCAUUAAGGAAGAGGUAGUAGUCUUUCUUCAGAGAAAGGAGCAGAGGCCAGAUUUCCCAAAGGAGAAUUUUCAGAACUCCUGUUUCACGAUUGUUAUUUGCUAACAUUUUGACUAUCAGCUCAUUUCAGGACAAAAAUCUGACGUGUUGAAAUUUUGGAAUUUCCUAUAGAUUUUGUUCAGCACUAAACAAAUCUGGAAAGGAAAAGCAUUACUCCAUUUCAGAAGAAUUCUUGGAAUAACCCAGCACAGAAGAUUAUAGAUCUGUUCUAACAUUAGAUAAGUGUUCUCAGUUAUCACAGAGACUCUGAGAGCACACUGAAGUCAAUCUGUGUGUGUUGUUAGAAAGAAUACACUCUAAGAGUAGAAAAGAAUUUUGCAAUAGAAAUAAACAUCCUAUGAACCCACUUUCCCUUGUGGCUUUGACACGAAAUGCUGAAUAGGCUUUUGACAGUCAAAUGCUUUUUCUUUGGAACUCUUCAGCGGUUUGACUUUGGUAAAGUAUUUCAUUAAAGUUGCCACCCUACUGAAUAGCAGCUUGUCAGAUGACAUCUGUGCCUGUGAUGAAAUCUUUCCCCAGUACCUGAUAUAAAGGCUUAUUUCCCACCUCAUAUCUCUUCCAUGUUAGACAACCAUCCUGCCAUCUUUGCCAUAUUCUGACAACACGAAGUAUUCUCUUCCAGUCUCGUCCAUUUACUUAUCUCAUCCAGUAUAGCAUAUCCAACACAAGAUAGAGCUGACAGGGUCCGUAUUGCUUUGUUUAACUACAGGUGGGUAGGGCAGCGCAACUGCCAAACCAGAUGUGCCCCAGAUUGGGCCCAGUCAAACAAAAUGGCAUGUUCAUUGGCUCCCACAGAAACUCAUAUGUCUGGGAACAAAGACAUUCCUAUGAGUACUGUAAACUCUGUUCUGGAAAACUGAUUUUAAAUCAUCUAAACAUCAGCUCCCAGCAUGACUCUGUGGCAAAGACAAUUAUCACUAGUUCUUUGAUGUCUAAGCAGGCAUAUCAAAUGUGAGUACAUAUGGAUGUAUUUAACAUUGCUAUACUAUUGCCAUGCUGUCAUCAAUUCUAGCUGUCUGCAUUUCCAGUGGAUGCCAAAAAGUGCCAUCCCUCCAAACGGUCAUAGCUGAAGGACUGGAAAACAUUUCUGUAGCUUCUUCUCAAGGACAGCAGCACAAACUUGGUCAUGUCAAAGAGAAGGUUAAAUGCAACUUGAUCACAAUCUGUAAAUGUCAAUAUAAAGUUGCAGAUACUUGAUACAGAAGGCUUCAGAAGCUCAAAGAUGGAUGUGUGUAAGAGGUCUCUUGCUGGAACUUGAAGUUGAGUACAUUUAGAGGAGAUAGGGUUCCCCAUUUUUAACAGCAGGGGUAGGAUUCUGUUUUAGGAACUUAUGUGCUCCAUCACAUGCCCCCCGGCACUACAAACAAGUCAAGAACAGAUGUUUUCCUGAAAGAUACGGUCACAAAGACUCAGGAUGGAGAGACCCCUGAUAAGCAAGGAUGCCUGAAGGAUCACAAAGGACUAGUUGGACCUUCUAAUCUACUACGUCUGUAAGUUUAGAAACUGGAACUUGAAGAUAGAAGCAUCACCCACUUGCCUUCCCUGACUGACGAUGGUAACAGGCUCACCAGCAGCCUGCUCUCAACCAGCGUGCCAUUUCUUGGGGAAUGAGAGAACCCACUCAUCUCUGACCUCUGCCUCUAAAUCUAAGUAGGACAAGCAGACUUUUCUUGUCAAGUUUGGCUCCUUCACUAAUCCUUCUGUGUUCAUCCUUAGCCUCACUUCUCCUGAGGUACAUGAAAUGCAGUGCUCGAGGCUGCCCUGACAUUGCUGCAAGAAUGAAUUAGCAAAGAAAUCCUGUUUAUCUGGCAGUCUUCUGAAACAGGACACUUGAAUAAAUAAGGACUGCAGAGUAGCAUGAAACAAGAUAACUCAAUUAAUUCAGCUAAUUUCAUCAUUGUUACUUGUCAUGCAUGUAGUAAAGGAAUGCAAUUUUAUUGAAACAUUAUUCUCUUAUUAUUCUAUUUUAUCAAAUUAUUAUUCUCACGUAGGAAGCACAUGAGAUGGAGAGAUCAGUGUUAUCUUGGUCAAGGAAGGAAAUAUCUUCACUGAGGACAUUGCCCUCCUUUGCUUGAGCUUGUGAGCAUUGGCAACAGCGGGGGCAAGUUGCCAGCUAAAGUCAGCAGCCUAUUUCCUUCAGAUAUGACCAUCAACAACCAUUGGGAAGGCUCAGUCGGACUCCUGGAAUCUUGUUCUACGUCAAGAAAUGAAUGCAGUCAUUAAGGCAGAGAAAUGCUCUGUGGGGCUGAUGUCUUGGUUCUAGCAGGUCCUGUGGCAGCACCCAAGGACAUGCGUUCAAAUGCCAGCCAUCUGCAUCCUGCUGGGCCCGGGCUGGGAAAGCAGCCCCGUUGUGGAAUCCCCUCCUCGAUCUGUAUCUCUUGUCCACUUUGAACAGACAAGCAAGGGGAGAUGAGGUUUGCCAGCAGGAUUUGAAGACAUCACUCAUGACUGCUUGCGUGAAAAGCACUUUGCCAGCUGGCAUAUAAAUAUAUGAUUUAAAGAAACCACGCUUAAUUACAGAGGACAGACAUUUUGUCAUUGUGUAAUUAAGCUUCAAAUCUGAUCUGUAGACAUACAAAUAAAGAGAUAUGCAUUCUGCUGGGCUCAAAAGCAAGGCCACUGCAUCGACUCUGAACCCAAGCCUCAGUUUCCAUAGUAGUCUUGUAAAAAUGGUCUUAUAACAUCUAACAAAAAGAUCCUUAAAAGUGAAUGGCAAUUUGAUCUAAAAAAUACUGCUGUAGAAGGCAGAGAAAUAAAACUAAUACUCAGCUUUUAUGCAGUGAAUAAUUUCCAUUAAUGGUUGGAUUUUAAGGCCUCCUCUUUUUUAGCAGCCUCCAUACUUUAUCAGCGCAAAUAACUUCAGUGCAAUCAUUUAUGCUGCAAAGUACUAGGAAGAAUAAACAUAAGAACCAAGAUUUAAAUAAAUAUUUCUGUUAAAGUACAAUGCUGAAACUUCUGCACAUUUGCAGAAUCAGACAAAGGCCAGGCCCUGCUCCAAGGAAUUUUAAUUCUCCAUACAGCUCCACAGCCGCAAGGAGAGGUCCCCAAACGAGGGCUUCACACUCCUAUCCCUGAGCACAGUGCACAGAGCCAUUGGGCAGCUGGUGGCUGAGGAACACACAUUUUGCCCCAGGAAAGAGUGACUCCCCCAACAGCUCUGACUUGGCAGGGGUCUGCCUGCUGCUUGGAGCUGCUCUGCGCCUGCUCUGAAAGGAGAUAGCAGCAGUUGUGUCACAUUCCCCGCUGCUGGGGCAGAAGCUGGCCCAGUUUGCAGCUUGUGCUCAGCAGACCUUACUUGCAGCACGAAGAGGAUAAUUCAUGCAUGUCCUCGGAAGCAGAAACCGCUGGAGCAGUCGCUUCCCGUGCAGCUGUUUGGUCCCAGCCGGCUAUCUCCCCAAUGAGCAACUGGUUACAAAUGGAGAGCCUACUCUGUAGUUGAGGAAACUCCGUAGCAAACUCAUUCAGACAUCUGACAGGGAGCUUCCUUCCUCUGCUGCAGGCACCUGUGUGUUAAAGUAACUCAUGCAAGUUUACUGACAUGCAAUGUUUAUAAAUAUUUAUAUUUAGUGAACCCUUUGUUCUCCUAUCCCUUUGGACCUGAAUAAUUAGUCAAAAAUUCAAAGUCCUGAAAAUUGUUCUGCUUAGGUGGAAAAAAGGGACAGAGUCAGUCACAUUGGUACAUACUCAGAAACAAAUGCAGGCUGCUUCCCAGAGCGCAAAAGGAAGGAAACGAUUCCAAAUCAUUUCCCUUCCACUUGGCUUCAAGCCUGUUAGCCAGCAUCCACAAACUGCCUCUCUUACCAUUACCACGUGGUCAUUGUUCUCCAUGAUGGGGUCAGGCUCCCUGGACAUUUUUCCCUAUGUGAGAACCAGCAAUCCUUGGAGGACUGGCAGACAAUGGUACUGCUUUCUUUCAUGAAAAUGUUGGAAAACUCAAAAUCAACAACAUCUCAUAACACAAACAGAGGAUGCGAGCAAUUACUUUGAAGGAUGCUAAGCCCAGCUAUGAUGUACAAAUGUUCUGUGUAGCAAAAAAUAAGUACUUGGAAAAAUAAUUUUAAGUCAAGACUCCAGUUUUGCUGCUACGUGAUAAAUUUGACAGGCUCAGUUAAACACCAAUUUGCAUUUUUAAAACUCAGCCCUGCCUCUCUCUGUCUUUCAGGUCUCCCAUGCUCUUGAAAUGAAGUUGCAAUGGAAAUCUCAAAGCUUAAACUAGCCAAAACAUGCAGCUUGUACGCUGGCUGUGUUUGCAUGAAAGUUUUUGCAGCAGAUAUUGCUUGUAUGUAUCAGUAAGGUAUGACUGAUUAUGUGCUCACGCAGUGACUGCAGACACGAGUGCAAUGCCAUACUGCCCUGUGCCUGUGAGAGCCAGCCUGCAGGCAGCACCCACUUAUCCGUAAAGUCAGAAGCUCACAAGCAUGCCGCCUCUGUUAGUCGCGCACUCAUGCCCAAGCCUAUUUGUUGAGAGCGAGCCCUAGUGAACGCUGCCAGCAAAACCAGCAGCGGGAUGGUCUCUGAGUUUCCACACUGGAGCCCCUGUUGAUGCGCCCGCGGCCGGGCACAUCGCAGCGCUGCGCUUCGGCGCCCUGACUCGACCCGGGGACGCGGCAGCGGUGGGACCCGAGGGUCGGGAUGAGUCGCUGGGCAGCGCGGCAGCACGUGCCCCAUCAGCCACCCGCCGCUCCUCAGCUUCAGUUUAGCGCCCACCAUCCGGCAAACGCUCUCCAGGGAAGCAGCACCGGGGCCGCCUGCACCCUCCAGAGCCCCGCGGU